CAAAACGCGAACACACCAGACUGGUCAGCAGAUGUCCAGUCAACACCAACUAACUCUCACAGCGACAUGCGGGGAGCGUUUGUGCUGCGUUCUGAUUAGGGCCUGAUCCAGUUCGGUGGGUGCGCCUGAGCGAGCGGGUUCAGAGGGAAGAUGAGUGUGUGUAUUUAAGAGAGGUAAGAGGAGAUCAGCGUGGGCUGAGCUCUUCAUGUUUAUUCAUAGCUGUGCUGAUCUCUUCACAGGUCUGGCUCUCAUCUGCUCCCUUCUCCUGCUUUCCUGCAGCUCCUCCGUUACCGUCGCACCCCUUUGUGCGCUCCCCCAACUUCACGAGGGUCUCCUUCCCCAUCGCUGACUCAGCUGUUUUCCUACAGGUGUGGCAAGAGAGCCACACACACACACACACACACACAUACACACACACACGCACGCACGCACACACACACACACACACACGCACGCACGCACGCACGCACACACACACACACACACACGCUCCAAGUGAGUCGUGACUAGUGUGGCGUUGACUUUGCAGAACACCGGACUGCUCGGUUUUGAAGGGCUGCUUCUGCAGACUCCUGUUUGGAAACGAGACGCGGUGGAUGUUUGUUACAGGUGGUGAAUAAUGUGCACAGGCUGCAGGCGCCGCUCUGUUCUCAGGAAGGUCGAUUUAACUCAGUUAGCGCCUUUAGCUCGGUGCUUAUUCAGCCCCGUCUGUGCAACAUCGUCUUGUGGAGGCAAAAUAUGAUCGUGAGAGUCAUUCGAUUCAUGCUGGUUUACGCCUGCAUCAGCUGGUUUCACUGGACUUUUCUGUACAGUUCAUAGCACAGGAGACACACGUGUGUCAAACCUGCGACAACCUGUUCAAUUAGUUCAUUAACGUCAGAGGGACAGUUCAGGCCCCUCCCUGAGCCUCCACAGAGAGCAGCACCAGCGCCUCGGACCCGCUCACGUCUUGGCUUCGCGGCGCCUCUGCCGUCCUCUGCCGCGCUCGCUCAUCGGCGCCCAUUUGCAUGACAAAGUGGACCAUUCAUUGACUCUGGGCUUGUUAGGUAACGUGCCACAGCCUGAACGCCCCGGCAUCGGGCAUCCAGCAGCCUUUUUCUUCCUCGUCGCCAGCAUCCUCCACCUCCUCUCCGCCUCUUCACCACUUCCACCCACGCGCCGCUUUUGUUGACUCUUGUCCUGAGCGAGCGUGCGCCCGUGCGCGUGUUUUUCUGCCAUUUUAUUAUGACAUUUUCCCCUUUUUUCACGUUUUUGCUUUUCACGUGUUCUGCAAGUGUUGCUCACGGUGCUGUGGCUUUGGGAGCUGCUCAGGUGGAGGAGAGGAUUUGCUGCAGUGUUAGAUUUUUACAGGAAAACCACAGACAGGCAAACAUGUUAAUUAUGAUCAUUAACUAAGCAAGAAAUAGCUGCUUAGAUUAGUUUCGCUGUCAUUCUAAACAAACCACCAAUGGUUUUAUUUAGCUCACACUGUGUUUUAAACUCCUCUUCAAACAUGUGAUAACCAGA
RNAcentral lists this long non-coding RNA (1506 nucleotides) under Betta splendens (Siamese fighting fish). RNAcentral's name for it is "lncRNA (ENSBSLG00000000998.1)". Lineage: Eukaryota; Metazoa; Chordata; Actinopteri; Anabantiformes; Osphronemidae. The record is from RNAcentral.